This 300-nucleotide ribosomal RNA is filed under the name Enterobacter cloacae. Its description in RNAcentral is "bacterial SSU rRNA". It matches the Rfam family "Bacterial small subunit ribosomal RNA", at positions 434 to 728 of the family's 1533-position model. Lineage: Bacteria; Pseudomonadati; Pseudomonadota; Gammaproteobacteria; Enterobacterales; Enterobacteriaceae. The record is from RNAcentral.
UCAGCGGGGAGGAAGGCGAUAAGGUUAAUAACCUUGUCGAUUGACGUUACCCGCAGAAGAAGCACCGGCUAACUCCGUGCCAGCAGCCGCGGUAAUACGGAGGGUGCAAGCGUUAAUCGGAAUUACUGGGCGUAAAGCGCACGCAGGCGGUCUGUCAAGUCGGAUGUGAAAUCCCCGGGCUCAACCUGGGAACUGCAUUCGAAACUGGCAGGCUAGAGUCUUGUAGAGGGGGGUAGAAUUCCAGGUGUAGCGGUGAAAUGCGUAGAGAUCUGGAGGAAUACCGGUGGCGAAGGCGGCCCC